RNAcentral lists this ribosomal RNA (252 nucleotides) under uncultured bacterium. Its description in RNAcentral is "partial 16S ribosomal RNA". It matches the Rfam family "Bacterial small subunit ribosomal RNA", at positions 524 to 776 of the family's 1533-position model. The record is from RNAcentral.
UACGUAGGCAGCAAGCGUUGUUCGGAGUUACUGGGCGUAAAGGGUGCGUAGGCGGCUUUUUAAGUCUGGUGUGAAAUCUCCCGCUCAACUGGGAGGGUGCGCCGGAUACUGAGGGGCUAGAGUGUGGGAGAGGAAAGUGGAAUUCCUGGUGUAGCGGUGAAAUGCGUAGAUAUCAGGAGGAACACCGGUGGUGUAAACGGCUUUCUGGACCAUAACUGACGCUGAGGCGCGAAAGCUAGGGGAGCAAACAGG